GGGCCCGCACAAGCGGUGGAGCAUGUGGUUUAAUUCGAUGCAACGCGAAGAACCUUACCAAGCCUUGACAUCCUCGGAACUUUCUAGAGAUAGAUUGGUGCCUUCGGGAACGCAGUGACAGGUGCUGCAUGGCUGUCGUCAGCUCGUGUCGUGAGAUGUUGGGUUAAGUCCCGUAACGAGCGCAACCCUUGUCCUUAUUUGCCAUCAUUUAGUUGGGCACUCUAGGGAGACUGCCGGUGACAAACCGGAGGAAGGUGGGGACGACGUCAAAUCAUCAUGGCCUUUAUGCCUAGGGCUACACACGUGCUACAAUGGCAGGUACAGAGGGCAGCGAAGUCGCGAGGCUAAGCAAAUCCCAGAAAGCUGUUCGUAGUCCGGAUUGGAGUCUGCAACUCGACUCCAUG
This 404-nucleotide ribosomal RNA is filed under the name uncultured bacterium. RNAcentral describes it as "bacterial SSU rRNA". It matches the Rfam family "Bacterial small subunit ribosomal RNA", at positions 917 to 1322 of the family's 1533-position model. The record is from RNAcentral.